This 2046-nucleotide ribosomal RNA is filed under the name Triticum aestivum (bread wheat). Its description in RNAcentral is "partial small subunit ribosomal RNA". The record is from RNAcentral. Lineage: Eukaryota; Viridiplantae; Streptophyta; Magnoliopsida; Poales; Poaceae.
AUGGAGCCGAUCGGCGACCCGCGGGAGGGGCCGUCGACGGAGCGCGCGUUCGAGGACCAGACCAUCCCGCCAUGGACGGAGCAGGUGACGCCGCGCGCCGUGGUGGCGAGCCUGGUUCUGGGCGCGGCCUUCAGCGGCGUCAUGAUGAACCUGGUGUUCACGUCGGGGAUCGUCCCCACGCUGAACAUCACCGCCGGCCUGCUGGGGUUCUUCCUCCUCAAGGCGUGGACGCGCCUGCUCGACAAGCUCGGCGUGUUCUACGAACCCUUCACCCGCCACGAGAACGUCGUCGUCCAGACCUGCGUCGUCGCCUGCGCCAGCAUGACCUACAGCGGAGGGUUCGGGUCGUACCUGCUCGCCAUGGACCAUAGGACGGCGGAGAAGAUCAACACCGGCGAGGUCAACGGCAGAAACGUCAGCGAGCCGACGCUUCCCCGGAUUAUGGCCUUCUACUUUCUCAUCAGCUUCGUCGGAAUUCUCGCCAUUAUCCCCAUGAGGAAGACGAUGAUCAUCCGCCACCGGCUGACGUUUCCGAGCGGCUCAGCUACGGCUCAUCUCAUCAACAGCUUCCAUACCCCUUACGGAGCCAUGCAAGCAAAGAAGCAAGUGUCUCUGAUGAUCCACUCGUGCCUGGGAAGCUUUUUCAUGUCUAUCUUCCAAUGGUUUUACUCCGGCGGACCGCACUGUGGCAUGACCUUCUUCCCUUCGUUUGGGCUCGACGCCUUCAAUCGCGGCUUCUACCUCAAUUUGAACGGAACAUACGUCGGCGUCGGGAUGAUCAGCCCUUACCUGAUAAACAUCUCGAUGCUGGUCGGGGCCAUCAUCUCCUGGGGAUUCAUGUGGCCCUACAUCGAAACCAAAGAGGGGAGCUGGUACGCCGCCGAUCUCCAGGAAGGCAGUUUGCGUGGCAUCAACGGGUACAAGGUGUUUGGCGCCAUAGGCAUGAUCCUGGGCGACGGCAUCUUCCAGCUGGUGGUGAUCAUGGUGAGGACCCUGCAGACGAUGCGGCACCACCAGCUGGAGGCGGCGGAGGCGCUGCGGUCCUUCUCCGACGCCAACGCGGUGCCGCGCAACGUGCUCAGCUUCGACGACCGGCGCCGGACGCAGGUGUUCCUCCGGGAGCACGUCCCGGGCACCCUCGCCAUGGGCGGCUACGCCGCGCUGGCGCUGCUGUCCACCGUCGCCAUCCCGCACCUCUACGGCCAGGUGCGGCACUACCACGUGGCGACGGCGUACGUGUUCGCGCCGCUGCUGGCCUUCUGCAACGCCUACGGCACGGGGGUGGCCGAGACCAACUUCGCGGCGCAGUACAGCAAGCUGGUGAUCCUGCUGUUCGCGUCGUGGAUCGGGUACGGCAACGGCGGGGUGGUGGGGAGCCUCGUCAUCUGCGGCGUCGUCUCGUCCAUCGUCUCCACCGCCUCCGACUUCAUGUCGGACUUCAAGACCGGGUACCUGACGCUCACCUCGCCGCGGGCGCUCUUCGUCAGCCAGGUCAUCGGGACCGGCAUCGGCUGCGUCGUCAACCCGGCCGUGUUCACCGUGUUCCACCACUUCUACGAGGAGGCCGGGAACAAGAUCUACCAGGUGCCGCUGGCCAAGAUCUACCGGGCCAUCGCCGUGGUCGGCGUCGGCGACCUGGACCUGCCCAGGCACUGCCUGAGCAUGAGCGUGGGCUUCUUCGUGCUGGCACUGGUGGUGUGCGCGCUGCGGGAGGCGGCGGUGCACUACAAGUGGCGCGCAAGGAACUUCAUCCCGAGCGUCACCGGCAUGGCCAUGUCGUUCCUGCUGGUGCCGGCGGUGGCCAUCGACAUGUGCGUGGGCAGCCUGGUGCUCUACCUGUGGACCAGGUCGGACAGGGACGGCGCGCAGGUGUUCGGGCCGGUGCUGGCGUCCGGGCUCAUCUGCGGCGACGGGCUCUUCUCCAUCCCCUAUGCGCUGCUCGCCAGGUACGACGUCACGCCGCCCAUCUGCAUCAGGUUCGUCGCCAGGGAGCAGAACGAGAAGCUGGACGCCUACCUGGCCACUGUACUUGAGAAGUCCCGAUGA